This 500-nucleotide ribosomal RNA is filed under the name uncultured bacterium. RNAcentral describes it as "partial 16S ribosomal RNA". It matches the Rfam family "Bacterial small subunit ribosomal RNA", at positions 30 to 523 of the family's 1533-position model. The record is from RNAcentral.
AUUGAACGCUGGCGGAAUGCUUUACACAUGCAAGUCGAACGGCAGCACGGGGGCAACCCUGGUGGCGAGUGGCGAACGGGUGAGUAAUACAUCGGAACGUGCCCAGUCGUGGGGGAUAACGUAGCGAAAGUUACGCUAAUACCGCGUACGAUCUACGGAUGAAAGCGGGGGACCGUAAGGCCUCGCGCGAUUGGAGCGGCCGAUGUCAGAUUAGGUAGUUGGUGAGGUAAAGGCUCACCAAGCCAACGAUCUGUAGCUGGUCUGAGAGGACGCCCAGCCACACGGGGACUGAGACACGGCCCAGACUCCUACGGGAGGCAGCAGUGGGGAAUUUUGGACAAUGGGCGCAAGCCUGAUCCAGCCAUUCCGCGUGCAGGACGAAGGCCUUCGGGUUGUAAACUGCUUUUGUACGGAACGAAAAGGCUCUGGUUAAUACCUGGGGCUCAUGACGGUACCGUAAGAAUAAGCACCGGCUAACUACGUGCCAGCCGCCGCGGUAA